CAUAUCCUAACUUGUGCGUAUAGACUACCAUGGUUUUGAUCCUAUUAUGUGACCAGGGAACCAAAUGCCGGACAAUUACAACACGCCCUCCUCUUUAGGAAUAAGGGAAGCUGGAACGUUUGGACUAGGUGCCCACCUGCGAGAGCGGGGUCAGAAACCUGGAGUCUUACGGCAAGUCGGGGAAGGG
This is a non-coding RNA of Desulfosporosinus youngiae DSM 17734, 187 nucleotides long. It matches the Rfam family "6S / SsrS RNA". From Rfam's summary of the family: E. coli 6S RNA was the first non coding RNA to be sequenced, but its function was unknown until recently. It consists of 184 nucleotides that fold into an extended hairpin structure with a large single-stranded internal bulge. The 6S RNA specifically associates with RNA polymerase holoenzyme containing the sigma70 specificity factor. The record is from Rfam. NCBI's taxonomy places the organism in Bacteria, Bacillati, Bacillota, Clostridia, Eubacteriales, Desulfitobacteriaceae.